GUCGUCAGCCGGCUCAAAAUAAUUUUCGUUCAAAGUUAAUUGGGCAGACUAAAAUUUUUUUGACAUUGAAGAUUUGUUAUCAAAACAACAUUUAAAGUUUAAAAAUCAAUCAUCUUCAACAAUUACAACACAAACUAAUUUGCGUGGUUUUAAAAACUAUAUCAAUUUGAUCCUGUAUAUUUGUACAAAGAUAUCAUGAUUGUCUUGUUCCAGCAAUAAAGUCAUAUAUGAAAGAUUUAAAAAGCUUCAUCAACUUACAACAACAGACUCUAGAUUCCAAUAUUAGACUAAAUUUAGACCUAUAAGGUUGUGACAAAACCCUGAAGAUUUAAUCAAAA
Long non-coding RNA from Hydra vulgaris (swiftwater hydra), 338 nucleotides. RefSeq lists it as uncharacterized. The record is from RefSeq and is a predicted model, not a curated record. NCBI's taxonomy places the organism in Eukaryota, Metazoa, Cnidaria, Hydrozoa, Anthoathecata, Hydridae.